CAGAGCUUAGCUAAGCACAGAUAUAGCAUCUCCCUUACACUGAGAAGUCACCCGUGCGAACCGGGUCGCUCUGA
This 74-nucleotide transfer RNA is filed under the name Craterocephalus stercusmuscarum (fly-specked hardyhead). RNAcentral's name for it is "tRNA-Val". It matches the Rfam family "tRNA". From Rfam's summary of the family: Transfer RNA (tRNA) molecules are approximately 80 nucleotides in length. Their secondary structure includes four short double-helical elements and three loops (D, anti-codon, and T loops). RNAcentral also lists the same sequence under 1 other name. The record is from RNAcentral. Lineage: Eukaryota; Metazoa; Chordata; Actinopteri; Atheriniformes; Atherinidae.